This 253-nucleotide ribosomal RNA is filed under the name uncultured bacterium. RNAcentral's name for it is "partial 16S ribosomal RNA". It matches the Rfam family "Bacterial small subunit ribosomal RNA", at positions 524 to 776 of the family's 1533-position model. The record is from RNAcentral.
GACAGAGGUUACAAACGUUGUUCGGAAUCACUGGGCAUAAAGCGCACGUAGGCGGUCUGUUAAGUCAGGUGUGAAAGCCCCCGGCUCAACCGGGGAACAGCAUUUGAUACUGGCAGACUCGAGGAUGGUAGGGGUGAGUGGAACUCCAGGUGGAGCGGUGAAAUGCGUAGAUAUCUGGAGGAACACCGGUGGCGAAAGCGGCUCACUGGACCAUAACUGACGCUGAGGUGCGAAAGCUAGGGUAGCAAACGGG